RNAcentral lists this ribosomal RNA (253 nucleotides) under uncultured bacterium. RNAcentral describes it as "partial 16S ribosomal RNA". It matches the Rfam family "Bacterial small subunit ribosomal RNA", at positions 524 to 776 of the family's 1533-position model. The record is from RNAcentral.
UACGAAGGUCCCAAGCGUUAUCCGGAUUUAUUGGGUUUAAAGGGUGCGUAGGCGGGUUAUUAAGUCAGUGGUGAAAGCCUUCAGCUUAACUGAAGAAUUGCCAUUGAUACUGAUGAUCUUGAGUAUGAUUGAGGUGGGCGGAAUGUGUCAUGUAGCGGUGAAAUGCUUAGAUAUGACACAGAACACCGAUUGCGAAGGCAGCUCACUAAGUCAUAACUGAUGCUGAUGCACGAAAGCGUGGGGAGCAAACAGG